Molecule: long non-coding RNA, 386 nt
Organism: Peromyscus maniculatus bairdii (prairie deer mouse)
Lineage: Eukaryota; Metazoa; Chordata; Mammalia; Rodentia; Cricetidae
Source: RefSeq, a predicted model, not a curated record
AUGAAUUCAUUGUUGUGGGAAGUACUCUGGAAUUAACACCCUUUUCUGGGGUUAGCUCUCAACCAAGGGAGCUAAAAUGAACAUCUCUGUAGGUGUUUGGUGUGCCGACCAAUAUCCAGUUCCUCCUCAGGCUUGUGGAAACCACUGAUAUCUGAGAGGGCUAAUCUAAAAGAGCCAUUGACCACUUAAUCCUCUCAGCUCUCUGAGCUCUAUUCCUGAAUUAACCAGACCACCAGGAAGCUACACUCUCCAUACGACUGCAUUCACUUCCUCCACACCACUUUCCACGUCUUCACCGAGAAGGAUGAAAGCAGGCAGUUCCGGCUCGCCAUGGUGAAAGGAAAACACAAAGAAAAUUUGGCGCUACGUUUCAAUACUAACAUGUA